Molecule: ribosomal RNA, 513 nt
Filed under: uncultured bacterium
Lineage: Bacteria
Description: partial 16S ribosomal RNA
Rfam family: Bacterial small subunit ribosomal RNA
Source: RNAcentral
GACGAACGCUGGCGGCAUGCCUAAUACAUGCAAGUCGAGCGAACAGAUGAAGUGCUUGCACUUCUGACGUUAGCGGCGAACGGGUGAGUAACACGUAAGGAAUCUACCUAUAAGCGGGGGAUAACAUUCGGAAACGGGUGCUAAUACCACAUAAUAUCUUCUUCCGUAUGGAAGAAGAUUGAAAGACGGCUCUGCUGUCACUUAUAGAUGACCUUGCGGUGCAUUAGUUAGUUGGUGGGGUAAUGGCCUACCAAGACGAUGAUGCAUAGCCGCGCUGAGAGGGUGAUCGGACACAUUGGGACUGAGACACGGCCCAAACUCCUACGGGAGGCAUGAGUAGGGAGUCUUCCGCAGAGGGCGAAAGCCUGCCGGAGCAAUGCGGCGUGAGGGAAGAAGGCCUUCGGGUCGGAAAACUCUGUUAUAAGAGAAGAACAAAUUGUAGAGUAACUGCUACAGUCUUGACGGUAUCUUAUCAGAAAGCCACGGCUAACUACGUGCCAGCCGCCGCCGUAA